Molecule: long non-coding RNA, 633 nt
Filed under: Carica papaya (papaya)
Lineage: Eukaryota; Viridiplantae; Streptophyta; Magnoliopsida; Brassicales; Caricaceae
Description: long non-coding RNA (CPAP_LNC011991)
Source: RNAcentral
UUCCGAGCACUUUGUGGCCAUAUUAGAGUAAAACAAACGGGAGGCGAGUUGAAAAUAAUGGACAAAGCUCGUCAGGGCCGCUGCGACUCAAAACCCGCAACUUCCUCCGAUGAGCCCCUUCCCAGUUCUCGUUUCAUGCAAUUUUUUUACCAUUGUGUUCACCAUUCUGUUUUCUGCAGGUUCACCGAAGGAGGAAUCCCAGCCACGAAUGAAAACUGACAGAAUCACCACACCCGAAAAUUCCACCACCGGUAGGUUUUAGUUUCUUGAUUUUUUGGGCCAACCAAGGCUCUCUAACGUAUUUUUUUGCAUGGAUAUGUGUAAAUUCGGCUAAAACUAGCUAAAAACAGCGAGGCCGAGGCAAACCGCUGCCGCAGGUGGCGGCGCUGUCACUAGAGCACACCACCAUCGUCGUGCCGGAAUCCUGAAAUAGGUCGGAAGGAAUUUUUAACACUGAUUUUGGAUUUUUUUGAGGUAUUUUUUUAGGUAUGUGAAGCGUGUUUAAUCUCCACAGAAAAAUUUAGGAAAUCCAGGGGCCACUAGGAGCCGCAGCAAAAAGUACGAUAUUUCAGACACCGAUUCGGGUAAGAAUUCAUUACCCUAUUUCUUGUUAUGGAAUUGAAGCUUAAUAAU